This 218-nucleotide ribosomal RNA is filed under the name uncultured bacterium. RNAcentral's name for it is "partial 16S ribosomal RNA". It matches the Rfam family "Bacterial small subunit ribosomal RNA", at positions 524 to 741 of the family's 1533-position model. The record is from RNAcentral.
UACGUAGGGCGCAAGCGUUGUCCGGAAUUAUUGGGCGUAAAGAGCUCGUAGGCGGUUUGUCGCGUCUGCUGUGAAAACCUAAGGCUCAACCUUGGGCUUGCAGUGGGUACGGGCAGACUAGAGUGCGGUAGGGGUGACUGGAAUUCCUGGUGUAGCGGUGGAAUGCGCAGAUAUCAGGAGGAGCACCGAUGGCGAAGGCAGGUCACUGGGCCGCAACU